RNAcentral lists this small nuclear RNA (107 nucleotides) under Urocitellus parryii (Arctic ground squirrel). Lineage: Eukaryota; Metazoa; Chordata; Mammalia; Rodentia; Sciuridae. The record is from RNAcentral.
GUGCUUGCUUCAGCAGCACAUGUACUAAAACUGGAACAAUAAAGAGAAAAUUAGCAUGGCCCCUGCGCAAGGAUGUCAUGCAAAUUUGUGAAACAUUGCAUAUUACA